GAUGAAGAACGUAGCGGAAUGCGAUACUUGGUGUGAAUUGCAGAAUCCCGUGAACCAUCGAGUCUUUGAACGCAAGUUGCGCCCCAAGCCGUUAGGCCGAGGGCACGUCUGCCUGGGCGUCACACGUCGUUGCCCCUCCCAACCCCUUCGGGAGUUGGCUGGGACGGAUGAUGGCCUCCCGUGCGCUCCGUCGCGCGGUUGGCAUAAAUAACAAGUCCUCGGCGGCCAACGCCGCGACAAUCGGUGGUUGUCAAACCUCGGUGUCCUGUCGCGCGCGCGUCGUCCGGGGCUUUUUCCAAUCUAAUGCGCGUCGAUUCGUCGGCGCUUUCAACGCGACCCCAGGUCAGGCGGGGUUACCCGCUGAAUUUAAGCAUAUCAAUAAGCGGAGGA
This 390-nucleotide unclassified non-coding RNA is filed under the name soil metagenome. RNAcentral's name for it is "partial contains 5.8S ribosomal RNA, internal transcribed spacer 2, and large subunit ribosomal RNA". The stretch from base 1 to 122 matches the Rfam family "5.8S ribosomal RNA", at positions 35 to 154 of the family's 154-position model. The record is from RNAcentral.